GUGGGGAAUAUUGGACAAUGGGGGGAACCCUGAUCCAGCCAUGCCGCGUGUGUGAAGAAGGCCUUUUGGUUGUAAAGCACUUUAAGCGAGGAGGAGGCUACCGAGAUUAAUACUCUUGGAUAGUGGACGUUACUCGCAGAAUAAGCACCGGCUAACUCUGUGCCAGCAGCCGCGGUAAUACAGAGGGUGCAAGCGUUAAUCGGAUUUACUGGGCGUAAAGCGCGCGUAGGUGGCUAAUUAAGUCAAAUGUGAAAUCCCCGAGCUUAACUUGGGAAUUGCAUUCGAUACUGGUUAGCUAGAGUAUGGGAGAGGAUGGUAGAAUUCCAGGUGUAGCGGUGAAAUGCGUAGAGAUCUGGAGGAAUACCGAUGGCGAAGGCAGCCAUCUGGCCUAAUACUGACACUGAGGUGCGAAAGCAUGGGGAGCAAACAGGAUUAGAAACCCUGGUAGUCC
This 451-nucleotide ribosomal RNA is filed under the name uncultured bacterium. RNAcentral describes it as "partial 16S ribosomal RNA". It matches the Rfam family "Bacterial small subunit ribosomal RNA", at positions 354 to 796 of the family's 1533-position model. The record is from RNAcentral.